UUACAUCCACUUUCUGUGCCAACAUGCCAUA
RNAcentral lists this non-coding RNA (31 nucleotides) under Mus musculus (house mouse). The record is from RNAcentral. Lineage: Eukaryota; Metazoa; Chordata; Mammalia; Rodentia; Muridae.